Molecule: ribosomal RNA, 798 nt
Filed under: Nectria pseudotrichia
Lineage: Eukaryota; Fungi; Ascomycota; Sordariomycetes; Hypocreales; Nectriaceae
Description: eukaryotic LSU rRNA
Rfam family: Eukaryotic large subunit ribosomal RNA
Source: RNAcentral
CGGCAACAGCUCAAAUUUGAAAUCUGGCCCUCGCGGUCCGAGUUGUAAUUUGUAGAGGAUGCUUUUGGUUAGGUGCCUUCCGAGUGCCCUGGAACGGGACGCCAUAGAGGGUGAGAGCCCCGUCUGGUUGGACACCGAGCCUCUGUAAAGCUCCUUCGACGAGUCGAGUAGUUUGGGAAUGCUGCUCUAAAUGGGAGGUAUAUGUCUUCUAAAGCUAAAUAUUGGCCAGAGACCGAUAGCGCACAAGUAGAGUGAUCGAAAGAUGAAAAGCACUUUGAAAAGAGGGUUAAAAAGUACGUGAAAUUGUUGAAAGGGAAGCGCUUGUGACCAGACUUGGGCCCGGUCAAUCAUCCAGGGUUCUCCCUGGUGCACUUGGCCGGCCCAGGCCAGCAUCAGUUCGUCGCGGGGGAUAAAGACGUCGGGAAUGUGGCUCCCCCGGGAGUGUUAUAGCCCUUCGUGUAAUACCCUGCUUUGGACUGAGGUUCGCGCAUCUUGCAAGGAUGCUGGCGUAAUGGUCAUCAGCGACCCGUCUUGAAACACGGACCAAGGAGUCGUCUUCGUAUGCGAGUGUUCGGGUGUCAAACCCCUACGCGUAAUGAAAGUGAACGCAGGUGAGAGCUUCGGCGCAUCAUCGACCGAUCCUGAUGUUCUCGGAUGGAUUUGAGUAAGAGCAUACGGGGCCGGACCCGAAAGAAGGUGAACUAUGCCUGUAUAGGGUGAAGCCAGAGGAAACUCUGGUGGAGGCUCGCAGCGGUUCUGACGUGCAAAUCGAUCGUCAAAUAUGGGCAUGGGGGCGAA